CAGGGCUCCGCAGGCUGGGCUGGAGUCGGUUUCAAUUCCCACCCGGGCGCCCUGACCCCGGUGCCCUGUGACUCGUCUGAGCCGGCAGGUCAGGGUGGACCCGGGCUGCUCGCCACUGGCCUGUGGGCUUGUUGGUUGAUGGUCCGGAUUGUGAUCUGGAGCCCUAGGGCAGAGGCACUGGGCACGCGGAUCUGCGGUGGCGCGGGAGGCCUCGCUGGGGAGAUAGCAUGCGGUGGGCUGUGUGCAUGGCCUGGGCUCAGCCCAGGUGGGUGCAGGGGCCAUGUUCAUUCACCCUGGGGCAGAGGGAAGAGGAAUGAGAGAGUUAAGUGUCCAUGUUAGAAGCCCACGGCUGGAGAGCCAAGCAGGCAGCUGUGCUGGUCUGGCCACCUAGCAACCCGCCACCACAGUGGCCCCUUGCAUCCAGGGAGACUGUUGACUGGCCACUGAUACAUCCCCUGCCCGCCUCUCCCCCUACCCAUAUAUAGUUUACAGGCAAUUGAAGGCACUUUGACAAGUAAUUUUAGUCAUUGAUAAUUAUUACUUUCUCUGUGGGAGAUCAGGUCCACAGUUAGGGGGAACCUGGCAGGGCUCCUGCGGGAACCCCAGCCUGGGGCAGAGGGGGACCCAUCCAUUCACAUUCUUUUUCCUCUCACCAAAAGGCACUGUAGUAGAAAAGGACAAAUGUGACUCCAUUAGACCUGUUUAUUUGCUUUAACCGUGUGCCCUGUUUUCUUGGUUUAGUCUUGCUUGCUCUGCACCUUUUGUAAAACAAUGUUGCCUUUAGCCUGAAAUAGACAGGAGAGCCUAUUCUUGGGGCUCUGACCUUUAAGGAUAUUAACACUUUUGCACUCAUAUAAAGAUAACAAGUUGCAGAAUAGAAAAUAACUUUUGUUUUGUUGGAGGUUUUCACAGGGGCAUCAUGACCUGACCCACAUGGAUGGCUGCAAAGGAUUCCAAGAACAAAGAAAUCCUACACCAAGAAGUUUGCAACAACCAACCACACCCCUUUCCCUUUUUAGUAGAAAAGGAGCCUGAACUCUGACUUGGGGAAGAUGGUUCUCCAGGACAUAAGUCGGCCAUUAUCUUGGUCUGCAGCUGCAUUAAUAAGCGAGUGACAGACCAGGAGAAAAUCUUUGCAAAAUAUAGAACUUGUUUCCAAAAUAUAUAAAGAAGCCCUACAGACCACUUUUAAUGAAACAACCUAAUUUGAAAAAAUUGGCAAAAGGAAAAGAUACAAAUCACCAAUAAGACUUGAAAAGUGCAUAUAACAUCAUCAGGG
RNAcentral lists this long non-coding RNA (1279 nucleotides) under Camelus dromedarius (Arabian camel). RNAcentral's name for it is "lncRNA (ENSCDRG00005021704.1)". The record is from RNAcentral. Lineage: Eukaryota; Metazoa; Chordata; Mammalia; Artiodactyla; Camelidae.